CAAAUGCUCUUCUUCAUCUCCACCUCCUUGGCUUCCAUGGUUUCUUCCUUCAAGUUUGACCUAACACCCCAUCCCCUACAGAAAGCCUUUCUUCAUCCCUUUUGUUGUUGGCGUCUUCCCUCUAUUAUCAUGCUACACAAGAAAAAUCAGAUCAAAAUGGGAAAAAACGAGAAAGAAAACAAAAAAGCAAGCAAGCAACAAAAAAAGUGAAAAUACCAUGCUGUGAUCCACACUCAGCCCCAGUGUCCUCUCUCUGGGUACAGAUGGCUCUCUCCAUCACAAGACCAUUGGAACUGGCCUGCCUCACCUCAUUGUUGAAAAGAGCCCUGUCCAUCAAAAUUGAUCAUCAUCUAAUCCAAUACAACUUUCAAAGUCAGCAGGAGAAGUCUGUUGCAUUAGAGUGAGAGUGGAGUGCUGUCCAACACAGGCUGUGCCAAAGCCAGCCAGAUCCCAGCAAACCAGCAGCUGACCUUGGUGGUGACUGAAUCAGAGGCAGUAGCUGGAUCUUCUGAGUCACUUUGCUAGUCCUGGGUGCAGGACUCUGUUGCAUUGACCAUACUCAAGUCUGGAUUGCAUCCCUGGAUUGCAGACCCUGGACAAAGAGGAGCAUUAGAACAUCAGCAUUUGUGGACUCAGAGGAGAGGGUUCCAGAACAAAAAAGAGUGCUUUUGGUCUCUCUCAGAAAGCACAGGCCAGGAGAGUAGUAAAUACACAUGUCCUUAGAUCAUAUCAUCUUGAAGGAACUAAAAAUUUGCAGACCCCCAGAACUAACCUGAAAAACAGCUGCAUAAAUAACCUGAAGCUUAGGACAGUGUUCCCUCCACUCCAUGAGCAAAGUACAACUUUAAUUCUGGGAAACAAAUGGCCACCCAGGCUGUGUAGAAUGUGACCAAGUUAGCGGCAUUUUUUCCUUUUUAUCUAUUCAAAGUUAUUUUGCUCACCUAUUAUACUGCCUGCACCCUAAAGCCCAUGCUCACACUAGAGAGCAGCAGAGCUCAUGCUGCCAUCUGUAUGAACCCCCUCCAUUGAGGUGUCCAUAAGAGAUAAACACUGCUCCAAGGAAUUAUGACAAGAAAGGCUUUUUCUACAUCCUUGCUAUCUCCAUGCAGUAUAAACUCUCUCCUCCUUCCCUCACUCUCUACCCAGUCCCAUAGAUUUUCUCCCCAGUACAUUGAUCUUCCCCCUUCUCAGACUAGAGAAAAGUCUCUCCAUCCCCAGGAUCACAGGGACUACAACUGCCCACACCCCACCUCUGUUUUGUGCCUGCUGCAGUCUAUUGUCCUGGUUGCAGGAGUCCCACACCCACUUUCCCUACAGUAGUGCCCUACCUCCAUAGUGGUGAUGGAGGGGAGUGAAGUACCCCACCCCUAUGGCUGUAAAUGUGCAGUUGUUUCCUUCUCCUCCUCCCUUUUUGUGAACAACUAAAGCUAAAAUAGGAUAAAGGACAGAUCUUUUAGGCUAGCAGAAGAGGUUGUGCAUGUGCUUGCAUUAAGGCCUAUGGGGAACAAGUACCAGGCUAAUAGGGCAAGAGUGGGAGACAUCUCCCUUCCCAUGAACAUAGUUAAGCAUGAACUGCUGACACCAUUGAAAUGGCAAAGUAGUUUGUUGGCAAGCAUCAGUGAGAAAAUAACCGCUCCUUCUAUAUAUUAUUAUAGAUAAUUUUCUCUGUUAUGUGCAAAGAUAAAUCUUUUCCAAUUAUCUCAUCUGAUCCUCAUUACAACCCAGCAAGGUGGUGCUGGGGGAGGCAUCUAAGGACUAAGGAUAGGUGCAAGAUAACUAAGCUAGGAAGGACCAUGGUCAGGCAAGUGAAGAACUGUUAUGAGAAGGAAACUCAGGGGCUAUCUAAUCAAUAUCUCAUUUGUCCACUGUAAAUUACAGAUUAGUUGUUAAUCUUUUCUGGUACAGGGAAUUCCCAUAUAGGGACCUGGCUUCCAUCUACAAAGACCACUGAGAAUUAAAAAAACAAAAUAUGUUCAGUUAACUACCUCCAACUUUCCCUAAACUCCCAUGAUUCAGGAACAACCUGAAACCCAGAAGUAACACAC
Long non-coding RNA from Sarcophilus harrisii (Tasmanian devil), 2045 nucleotides. The record is from Ensembl. Lineage: Eukaryota; Metazoa; Chordata; Mammalia; Dasyuromorphia; Dasyuridae.